GAAUUCAGACAAACUCCGAAUGCCAAUUAAUUUAACUUGGGAGUCAGAACAUGGGUGAUAAGGUCCGUGUUCGAAAGGGAAACAGCCCAGACCACCAGCUAAGGUCCCAAAAUAUAUGUUAAGUGGAAAAGGAUGUGGCGUUGCCCAGACAACUAGGAUGUUGGCUUAGAAGCAGCCAUCAUUUAAAGAGUGCGUAAUAGCUCACUAGUCGAGUGACACUGCGCCGAAAAUGUACCGGGGCUAAACAUAUUACCGAAGCUGUGGAUUGUCCUUUGGACAAUGGUAGGAGAGCGUUCUAAGGGCGUUGAAGCAUGAUCGUAAGGACAUGUGGAGCGCUUAGAAGUGAGAAUGCCGGUGUGAGUAGCGAAAGACGGGUGAGAAUCCCGUCCACCGAUUGACUAAGGUUUCCAGAGGAAGGCUCGUCCGCUCUGGGUUAGUCGGGUCCUAAGCUGAGGCCGACAGGCGUAGGCGAUGGAUAACAGGUUGAUAUUCCUGUACCACCUAUAAUCGUUUUAAUCGAUGGGGGGACGCAGUAGGAUAGGCGAAGCGUGCGAUUGGAUUGCACGUCUAAGCAGUAAGGCUGAGUAUUAGGCAAAUCCGGUACUCGUUAAGGCUGAGC
This 619-nucleotide ribosomal RNA is filed under the name Staphylococcus aureus. RNAcentral's name for it is "partial 23S ribosomal RNA". It matches the Rfam family "Bacterial large subunit ribosomal RNA", at positions 941 to 1561 of the family's 2925-position model. The record is from RNAcentral. Lineage: Bacteria; Bacillati; Bacillota; Bacilli; Caryophanales; Staphylococcaceae.